GGGGUCAUGGCUCAGUGGUAGAGUGCUCGCCUAGCAUGUGUGAAGCAGAGUUCGAUUCUCAGCACCACA
RNAcentral lists this transfer RNA (69 nucleotides) under Marmota monax (woodchuck). RNAcentral describes it as "tRNA.Ala". The record is from RNAcentral. Lineage: Eukaryota; Metazoa; Chordata; Mammalia; Rodentia; Sciuridae.